AACAGCCGUGAAUCCUAAAGCAAAGCGCUCAAAGGAUGAUGUUUCUUCUCAAGCUCCAACUAGAGUGUAUGGAACCUCAAGUUUGACGCGUCAACCUUCACUUGAAGAACAUUCUAUGCCUCAUAUGGAGCCACCACUACACCAUUCUCAAGCACCCGCUCCAUCAUUUGGUAGUAUGUCAAUUGUUCUUGUUUUAACUCAAGUUGUGUCUAUUCAAAAAUUCUGAUUUUAAUAUAUUUUUCACACUUGAACAGUCGUGUAUCCUAAAGCUAAGCGCUCAAAGAAUGAUGUUUCUUCUCAAGCCCCAACUAGAGUGUAUGGAACCCCAAGUUUGACGCGUCAACCUUCACUGGAAGAACAUUUUAUGCCUCAUAUGGAGCCACCACUACGUCAUUUUCAAGCACUCGUUCCAUCGUUUGGUAGUAUGUCACUUGUUCUUAUUCUUCGUGUAUCCUAAAGCUAAGCGCUCAAAGGAUGAUGUUUCUUCUCAAGCCCUAACUAGAGUGUAUGGAACCUCAAGUUUGACGCGUCAACCUUCAAUUGAAGAACAUUCUAUGCCUCAUAUGGAGCCAUCACUACACUGUUUUUAUUUAAGUUGUGUUUAUAUUGUGUUUAUUCUUUCAUAUGUAUAAACAUGCUGAUUUUAAUAUAUUUUUCACACUUGAACAGCCGUGAAUCCUGAAGAAAAGCGCUCAAAGGAUGAUGUUUCUUCUCAAGCUCCAACUAUGACACAUCAAGUUUGACGCCUCAACCUUCACUUGAAGACCACUAUAUGCCUCAUAUGGAGCCACCACUACCCCAUUCUCAAGCACAUGUUCCAUCAUUUGGUAGUAUGUAACUUGUUCUUGUUUUUAUUUAAGUUGUGCUUAUAUUGUGUUUAUUUUUUCAUAAGCAUAAACAUGCUGAUUUUAAUCUAAUUUUC
RNAcentral lists this long non-coding RNA (922 nucleotides) under Lotus japonicus. RNAcentral describes it as "long non-coding RNA (LJAP_LNC000878)". Lineage: Eukaryota; Viridiplantae; Streptophyta; Magnoliopsida; Fabales; Fabaceae. The record is from RNAcentral.